RNAcentral lists this ribosomal RNA (97 nucleotides) under Propithecus coquereli (Coquerel's sifaka). Lineage: Eukaryota; Metazoa; Chordata; Mammalia; Primates; Indriidae. The record is from RNAcentral.
GUCCAUGGCCACAACACACUGAAUGUGCCUGAUCUCAGAAGCUAAACAGGGUUGUUGGACCUGGCUGGUACUUGGAUCUGAGAUAAUACCAUGAAAU